RNAcentral lists this ribosomal RNA (376 nucleotides) under uncultured soil bacterium. Its description in RNAcentral is "bacterial SSU rRNA". It matches the Rfam family "Bacterial small subunit ribosomal RNA", at positions 26 to 402 of the family's 1533-position model. The record is from RNAcentral.
AGAUUGAACGCUGGCGGCGUGCCUAACACAUGCAAGUCGAGCGGUAACAGGCGUAGCAAUACGUGCUGACGAGCGGCGAACGGGUGAGCAAUGCUUCGGAAUCUGCCCAAUGAUGGGGAAUAACCAGUCGAAAGAUUGGCUAAUACCGCAUACGCCCUUCGGGGGAAAGCGGGGGAUCGCAAGACCUCGCGUCGAUGGAUGAGCCGAAGUCGGAUUAGCUAGUUGGUAGGGUACGCCUACCAAGGCGACGAUCCGUAGCUGGUCUGAGAGGACGACCAGCCACACUGGACUGAGACGACGGCCCAGACGUCCUACCGGUAGGCAGCAGGUGGGAAUUUUGGACAGUGGCGCAAGCCUGAUCCAGCAAUGCCGGCGU